CGUACACUCCUACGGGAGGCAGCAGUGGGGAAUAUUGGACAAUGGGCGCAAGCCUGAUCCAGCCAUGCCGCGUGAGUGAUGAAGGCCCUAGGGGUGUAAAGCUCUUUCACCGGUGAAGAUAAUGACGGUAACCGGAGAAGAAGCCCCGGCUAACUUCGUGCCAGCAGCCGCGGUAAUACGAAGGGGGCUAGCGUUGUUCGGAUUUACUGGGCGUAAAGCGCACGUAGGCGGACUAUUAAGUCAGGGGUGAAAUCCCGGGGCUCAACCCCGGAACUGCCUUUGAUACUGGUAGUCUUGAGUUCGAGAGAGGUGAGUGGAAUUCCGAGUGUAGAGGUGAAAUUCGUGGAUAUUCGGAGGAACACCAGUGGCGAAGGCGGCUCACUGGCUCGAUACUGACGCUGAGGUGCGAAAGCGUGGGGAGCAAACAGGAUUAGAUCCCGAGUAGUCCC
Molecule: ribosomal RNA, 449 nt
Filed under: uncultured organism
Description: partial 16S ribosomal RNA
Rfam family: Bacterial small subunit ribosomal RNA
Source: RNAcentral